RNAcentral lists this ribosomal RNA (511 nucleotides) under uncultured bacterium. RNAcentral describes it as "partial 16S ribosomal RNA". It matches the Rfam family "Bacterial small subunit ribosomal RNA", at positions 28 to 523 of the family's 1533-position model. The record is from RNAcentral.
GACGAACGCUGGCGGCGUGCCUAAUACAUGCAAGUAGAACGCUGAAGGAGGAGCUUACUUCUCUGGAUGAGUUGCGAACGGGUGAGUAACGCGUAGGUAACCUGCCUGGUAGCGGGGGAUAACUAUUGGAAACGAUAGCUAAUACCGCAUAAGAGUAGAUGUUGCAUGACAUUUACUUAAACGGUGCAAUUGCACCACUACCAGAUGGACCUGCGUUGUAUUAGCUAGUUGGUGGGGUAACGGCUCACCAAGGCGACGAUACAUAGCCGACCUGGGAGGGGGAGCGGCAACACUGGGACUGGGACACGGACCAGACUCCUACGGGAGGCAGCAGUAGGGAAUCUUCGGCAAUGGACGGAAGUCUGAACGAGCAGCGCCGCGUGAGUGAAGAAGGUUUUCGGAUCGUAAAGCUCUGUUGUAAGAGAAGAACGAGUGUGAGAGUGGAAAGUUCACACUGUGACGGUAUCUUACCAGAAAGGGACGGCUAACUACGUGCCAGCCGCCGCGGUAA